RNAcentral lists this ribosomal RNA (253 nucleotides) under uncultured bacterium. RNAcentral describes it as "partial 16S ribosomal RNA". It matches the Rfam family "Bacterial small subunit ribosomal RNA", at positions 524 to 776 of the family's 1533-position model. The record is from RNAcentral.
UACGUAGGGUGCAAGCGUUAAUCGGAAUUACUGGGCGUAAAGCGUGCGCAGGCGGUUGUGCAAGUCCGAUGUGAAAUCCCCGGGCUUAACCUGGGAAUGGCAUUGGUGACUGCACGGCUAGAGUGUGUCAGAGGGGGGUAGAAUUCCACGUGUAGCAGUGAAAUGCGUAGAGAUGUGGAGGAAUACCGAUGGCGAAGGCAGCCCCCUGGGAUAACACUGACGCUCAUGCACGAAAGCGUGGGGAGCAAACAGG